GAUGAACGCUGGCGGCGUGCCUAAUACAUGCAAGUCGAGCGAACGGACGAGAAGCUUGCUUCUCUGAUGUUAGCGGCGGACGGGUGAGUAACACGUGGAUAACCUACCUAUAAGACUGGGAUAACUUCGGGAAACCGGAGCUAAUACCGGAUAAUAUUUUGAACCGCAUGGUUCAAAAGUGAAAGACGGUCUUGCUGUCACUUAUAGAUGGAUCCGCGCCGCAUUAGCUAGUUGUAAGGUAACGGCUUACCAAGGCAACGAUGCAUAGCCGACCUGAGAGGGUGAUCGGCCACACUGGAACUGAGACACGGUCCAGACUCCUACGGGAGGCAGCAGUAGGGAAUCUUCCGCAAUGGGCGAAAGCCUGACGGAGCAACGCCGCGUGAGUGAUGAAGGUCUUCGGAUCGUAAAACUCUGUUAUUAGGGAAGAACAUAUGUGUAAGUAACUGUGCACAUCUUGACGGUACCUAAUCAGAAAGCCACGGCUAACUACGUG
RNAcentral lists this ribosomal RNA (496 nucleotides) under uncultured bacterium. RNAcentral describes it as "partial 16S ribosomal RNA". It matches the Rfam family "Bacterial small subunit ribosomal RNA", at positions 28 to 507 of the family's 1533-position model. The record is from RNAcentral.